AGACUCACUGCUCCAGGCCGUCGCCUGCUUGCCCACAGGACUCCGGCUAUGUCAUCGCCCUGCGCAGCUACAUCACUGACAACUGCAGCCUCCUCAGCUUCCACCGUGGGGACCUCAUCAAGCUGCUGCCGGUGGCCACCCUGGAGCCAGGCUGGCAGUUUGGCUCUGCCGGGGGCCGUUCCGGACUCUUUCCUGCCGACAUAGUGCAGCCGGCUGCCGCUCCCGACUUUUCCUUCUCCAAGGAGCAGAGGAGUGGCUGGCACAAGGGUCAGCUGCCCAACGGGGAACGAGGGCUGGCUCGGUGGGACAGGGCCUCAGAGGUGAGGAAGAUGGGAGAGGGACAACCAGAGGCAAGGCCUGCCUGAGACUGAGGAAGGAAAGGGGUUUGACCACUCCCGAGGCUGCCAUGUGGCAGGACCACCCUGCUGUCCGUCUCCUGUGGCUGCCCCAUCUGCCCCCUCCUGAUGGCUCGCCUUGUCUCUCCGGCAAGACUCUGCACUCCUUGCAGGCAGGGGCUGGGCUGGGUGCUGCUCUUGUGCCCCACGUGGUACUUAGUU
RNAcentral lists this small RNA (557 nucleotides) under Pongo abelii (Sumatran orangutan). Its description in RNAcentral is "retained intron". The record is from RNAcentral. Lineage: Eukaryota; Metazoa; Chordata; Mammalia; Primates; Hominidae.